UACGGGAGGCAGCAGUGGGGAAUAUUGCACAAUGGGCGCAAGCCUGAUGCAGCGACGCCGCGUGAGGGAUGACGGCCUUCGGGUUGUAAACCUCUUUCAGUAGGGAAGAAGCGAAAGUGACGGUACCUGCAGAAGAAGCACCGGCUAACUACGUGCCAGCAGCCGCGGUAAUACGUAGGGUGCGAGCGUUAUCCGGAAUUAUUGGGCGUAAAGAGCUCGUAGGCGGUUUGUCGCGUCUGUCGUGAAAGUCCGGGGCUUAACCCSGGAUCUGCGGUGGGUACGGGCAGACUAGAGUGCAGUAGGGGAGACUGGAAUUCCUGGUGUAGCGGUGGAAUGCGCAGAUAUCAGGAGGAACACCGAUGGCGAAGGCAGGUCUCUGGGCUGUAACUGACGCUGAGGAGCGAAAGCAUGGGGAGCGAACAGGAUUAGAUACCCUGGUAGUCCAUGCCGUAAACGUUGGGCACUAGGUGUGGGGACCAUUCCACGGUUUCCGCGCCGCAGCUAACGCAUUAAGUGCCCCGCCUGGGGAGUACGGCCGCAAGGCUAAAACUCAAAGGAAUUGACGGGGGCCCGCACAAGCGGCGGAGCAUGCGGAUUAAUUCGAUGCAACGCGAAGAACCUUACCAAGGCUUGACAUGUUCUCGAUCGCCGUAGAGAUACGGUUUCCCCUUUGGGGCGGGUUCACAGGUGGUGCAUGGUUGUCGUCAGCUCGUGUCGUGAGAUGUUGGGUUAAGUCCCGCAACGAGCGCAACCCUCGUUCCAUGUUGCCAGCACGUAAUGGUGGGGACUCAUGGGAGACUGCCGGGGUCAACUCGGAGGAAGGUGAGGACGACGUCAAAUCAUCAUGCCCCUUAUGUCUUGGGCUUCACGCAUGCUACAAUGGCCGGUACAAUGGGUUGCGAUACUGUGAGGUGGAGCUAAUCCCAAAAAGCCGGUCUCAGUUCGGAUUGGGGUCUGCAACUCGACCCCAUGAAGUCGGAGUCGCUAGUAAUCGCAGAUCAGCAACGCUGCGGUGAAUACGUUCCCGGGCCUUGUACACACCGCCCGUCAAGUCACGAAAGUCGGUAACACCCGAAGCCGGU
RNAcentral lists this ribosomal RNA (1082 nucleotides) under Micrococcus sp. RNAcentral describes it as "bacterial SSU rRNA". Lineage: Bacteria; Bacillati; Actinomycetota; Actinomycetes; Micrococcales; Micrococcaceae. The record is from RNAcentral.